GAUGAACGCUGGCGGCGUGCCUAAUACAUGCAAGUCGAGCGAACGGACGAGAAGCUUGCUUCUCUGAUGUUAGCGGCGGACGGGUGAGUAACACGUGGAUAACCUACCUAUAAGACUGGGAUAACUUCGGGAAACCGGAGCUAAUACCGGAUAAUAUUUUGAACCGCAUGGUUCAAAAGUGAAAGACGGUCUUGCUGUCACUUAUAGAUGGAUCCGCGCUGCAUUAGCUAGUUGGUAAGGUAACGGCUUACCAAGGCAACGAUGCAUAGCCGACCUGAGAGGGUGAUCGGCCACACUGGAACUGAGACACGGUCCAGACUCCUACGGGAGGCAGCAGUAGGGAAUCUUCCGCAAUGGGCGAAAGCCUGGCGGAGCAACGCCGCGUGAGUGAUGAAGGUCUUCGGAUCGUAAAACUCUGUUAUUAGGGAAGAACAUAUGUGUAAGUAACUGUGCACAUCUUGACGGUACCUAAUCAGAAAGCCACGGCUAACUACGUGCCAGCAGCCGCGGUAAUACGUAGGUGGCAAGCGUUAUCCGGAAUUAUUGGGCGUAAAGCGCGCGUAGGCGGUUUUUUAAGUCUGAUGUGAAAGCCCACGGCUCAACCGUGGAGGGUCAUUGGAAACUGGAAAACUUGAGUGCAGAAGAGGAAAGUGGAAUUCCAUGUGUAGCGGUGAAAUGCGCAGAGAUAUGGAGGAACACCAGUGGCGAAGGCGACUUUCUGGUCUGUAACUGACGCUGAUGUGCGAAAGCGUGGGGAUCAAACAGGAUUAGAUACCCUGGUAGUCCACGCCGUAAACGAUGAGUGCUAAGUGUUAGGGGGUUUCCGCCCCUUAGUGCUGCAGCUAACGCAUUAAGCACUCCGCCUGGGGAGUACGACCGCAAGGUUGAAACUCAAAGGAAUUGACGGGGACCCGCACAAGCGGUGGAGCAUGUGGUUUAAUUCGAAGCAACGCGAAGAACCUUACCAAAUCUUGACAUCCUUUGACAACUCUAGAGAUAGAGCCUUCCCCUUCGGGGGACAAAGUGACAGGUGGUGCAUGGUUGUCGUCAGCUCGUGUCGUGAGAUGUUGGGUUAAGUCCCGCAACGAGCGCAACCCUUAAGCUUAGUUGCCAUCAUUAAGUUGGGCACUCUAAGUUGACUGCCGGUGACAAACCGGAGGAAGGUGGGGAUGACGUCAAAUCAUCAUGCCCCUUAUGAUGUGGGCUACACACGUGCUACAAUGGACAAUACAAAGGGCAGCGAAACCGCGAGGUCAAGCAAAUCCCAUAAAGUUGUUCUCAGUUCGGAUUGUAGUCUGCAACUCGACUACAUGAAGCUGGAAUCGCUAGUAAUCGUAGAUCAGCAUGCUACGGUGAAUACGUUCCCGGGUCU
This 1372-nucleotide ribosomal RNA is filed under the name uncultured bacterium. Its description in RNAcentral is "bacterial SSU rRNA". It matches the Rfam family "Bacterial small subunit ribosomal RNA", at positions 28 to 1381 of the family's 1533-position model. The record is from RNAcentral.